RNAcentral lists this ribosomal RNA (390 nucleotides) under uncultured bacterium. RNAcentral describes it as "bacterial SSU rRNA". It matches the Rfam family "Bacterial small subunit ribosomal RNA", at positions 30 to 422 of the family's 1533-position model. The record is from RNAcentral.
AUUGAACGCUGGCGGCAUGCCUUACACAUGCAAGUCGAACGGUAACAGGUCUUCGGAUGCUGACGAGUGGCGAACGGGUGAGUAAUACAUCGGAACGUGCCCGAUCGUGGGGGAUAACGAAGCGAAAGCUUUGCUAAUACCGCAUACGAUCUACGGAUGAAAGCAGGGGACCGCAAGGCCUUGCGCGAACGGAGCGGCCGAUGGCAGAUUAGGUAGUUGGUGGGAUAAAAGCUUACCAAGCCGACGAUCUGUAGCUGGUCUGAGAGGACGACCAGCCACACUGGGACUGAGACACGGCCCAGACUCCUACGGGAGGCAGCAGUGGGGAAUUUUGGACAAUGGGCGAAAGCCUGAUCCAGCCAUGCCGCGUGCAGGAUGAAGGCCUUCGGG